GACGGACGCUGGCGGCGUGCUUAACACAUGCGAGUCGAACGGAAAGGCCUCUUUCGGGGGGUACUCGAGUGGCGAACGGGUGAGUAACACGUGAGUAACCUGCCCUUGACUUUGGGAUAACUUCAGGAAACUGGGGCUAAUACCGGAUAGGAGCUCCUGCUGCAUGGUGGGGGUUGGAAAGUUUCGGCGGUUGGGGAUGGACUCGCGGCUUAUCAGCUUGUUGGUGGGGUAGUGGCUUACCAAGGCUUUGACGGGUAGCCGGCCUGAGAGGGUGACCGGCCACAUUGGGACUGAGAUACGGCCCAGACUCCUACGGGAGGCAGCAGUGGGGAAUAUUGCACAAUGGGUGGAAGCCUGAUGCAGCAACGCCGUGUGCGGGAUGACGGCCUUCGGGUUGGAAACCGCUUUCGCUCAUGACGAAGCUUUGUGUGACGGUAGUGGGUAAAGAAGCACCGGCUAACUACGUG
Molecule: ribosomal RNA, 467 nt
Filed under: uncultured bacterium
Lineage: Bacteria
Description: partial 16S ribosomal RNA
Rfam family: Bacterial small subunit ribosomal RNA
Source: RNAcentral